AACACAUGCAAGUCGAGGGGAAACGAUAGAGAAAGCUUGCUUUUUCUAGGUGUCGACCGGCGCACGGGUGAGUAACGCGUAUCCAACCUGCCCACCACUUGGGAAUAACCUUGCGAAAGUAAGACUAAUACCCAAUGAUAUCUCUAGAAGGCAUCUGAAGGAGAUUAAAGAUUUAUCGGUGAUGGAUGGGGAUGCGUCUGAUUAGCUUGUUGGCGGGGUAACGGCCCACCAAGGCGACGAUCAGUAGGGGUUCUGAGAGGAAGGUCCCCCACAUUGGAACUGAGACACGGUCCAAACUCCUACGGGAGGCAGCAGUGAGGAAUAUUGGUCAAUGGGCGAGAGCCUGAACCAGCCAAGUAGCGUGCAGGAUGACGGCCCUAUGGGUUGUAAACUGCUUUUAUAAGGGAAUAAAGUGAGUCUCGUGAGACUUUUUGCAUGUACCUUAUGAAUAAGGACCGGCUAAUUCCGUGCCAGCAGCCGCGGUAAUACGGAAGGUCCGGGCGUUAUCCGGAUUUAUUGGGUUUAAAGGGAGCGUAGGCCGGAGAUUAAGCGUGUUGUGAAAUGUAGAUGCUCAACAUCUGCACUGCAGCGCGAACUGGUUUCCUUGAGUACGCACAAAGUGGGCGGAAUUCGUGGUGUAGCGGUGAAAUGCUUAGAUAU
Molecule: ribosomal RNA, 660 nt
Filed under: uncultured bacterium
Lineage: Bacteria
Description: bacterial SSU rRNA
Rfam family: Bacterial small subunit ribosomal RNA
Source: RNAcentral